UUUUUUUUAGGGCACUCAGCUAAGUUUGGCAGCUACUCAUUAAUGAAUCUGGAGAGCAACACCAUUAUGGACAUUCAACUUGUUCAGAGCAAUGAAGUAGGCGGCAGUUACCACAUGGAGAAGGAGUGACUCAAAAGAUGCCUAGAUCAUCUGGAGGCAAACGGAUUUAAGGCGGAUUACAUUGUUACGGACCGCCAUCCACAGAUCCAGAAAUAUCAGAGGGAACGGAACAUCACGCAGUUCUAUGACGUCUGGCACUUUGAGAAAGGUUUGUCUAAGAAACUGGAGAAAGCAUCGCACAAAGAAGACAUUCUUAAGAAAUGGCUGCAGAGCAUCAAGAACCAUGUGUACUGGUGCGCUACGUCAUAAACCACUGGACCGGAAAAAGUGACGAAGUGGACAUCGCUGCUAAAUCACUUGCAAAAUAUUCAUGAUCAUGAAGACCCCCUUUUCCCCAAAUGUCUGCAUCCUGAACGAGCCUCGAGGGACCCCAACAAAUGGCUACAACCUGGUAUGUGCCAAAUUAACAUUACUCAGAAAAUCCACAGUGCUAAAAUUAUGCCACUGAUAUUUCACCAUGUGUUAUUUUUUCACUCAAGGGUCAGUUGCACUUCACAACGCUGAGAAACUACUGCUUAACAAACAAGUCCUGAA
Gadus macrocephalus (Pacific cod) is the source of this 654-nucleotide long non-coding RNA. RefSeq lists it as uncharacterized. The record is from RefSeq and is a predicted model, not a curated record. Lineage: Eukaryota; Metazoa; Chordata; Actinopteri; Gadiformes; Gadidae. The transcript is spliced from 3 exons.